ACUCCUACGGGAGGCAGCAGUGGGAAUAUUGCACAAUGGGCGCAAGCCUGAUGCAGCAACGCCGCGUGAGGGAUGAAGGCCUUCGGGUUGUAAACCUCUUUAUCAGGGAAGAAGCGAAAGUGACGGUACCUGCAGAAAAGCACCGGCUAACUACGUGCCAGCAGCCNCGGUAAUACGUAGGGUGCAAGCGUUGUCCGGAAUUAUUGGGCGUAAAGAGCUCGUAGGCGGUUUGUCACGUCUGCUGUGAAAAUCCAAGGCUCAACCUUGGA
This 269-nucleotide ribosomal RNA is filed under the name uncultured bacterium. RNAcentral describes it as "partial 16S ribosomal RNA". It matches the Rfam family "Bacterial small subunit ribosomal RNA", at positions 335 to 619 of the family's 1533-position model. The record is from RNAcentral.